GCACUACCACAUAUGCGACAGGUGUUGUUGAGGCAGUAGCAUGGUCGAUCCUCGUGAUCCCUGGCACAGUGCUGGCAGAUCUUUCCACGUGCUGCCCUUAGAGCCUGAGGAGGGGCCUGGAUCACUGGUCUAGGCCUCUUAUUUGGUUGGACCGGCGCAGUAGGUGCUGGUCUGCGGGGUGGAGCUGAGGAUCGGUGACUCCCUGCUGACUGAGGACGGGUGUUGAAACUCCUCUCCACAAUCUGCGCCUUUGCUAGAACGACUGAGUAUGUCUUGAGCUCCAGUACCAAUAAGUGUUGUUUGAUCUCUGGG
RNAcentral lists this long non-coding RNA (312 nucleotides) under Carica papaya (papaya). Its description in RNAcentral is "long non-coding RNA (CPAP_LNC004957)". The record is from RNAcentral. Lineage: Eukaryota; Viridiplantae; Streptophyta; Magnoliopsida; Brassicales; Caricaceae.